CAACCAGCCAAAGCAGUUUCUUCCCAGCUUUUCGGGGACAAGUGGUGGUCACUGGCACAGAAGUGAAGCCUCUCAGCAGAAAUGAAGGGAGCAGCCAAGCACUCUCAGCAGGUGUAAUACUCUCUGAUCUGCUAGAAGAAAGUUAGCAAGAAGAAGUAUGGUCUUUCACUACAACCCUGAAGAUCUGCCAAUAGAUUGUGUGGGAAGAAAAAAUCAACCUCUAUCAGCCAUCAGCUGGUUCCCACGAUGGAGGCAGCUGACCUUAGAGAGAUGGGAACUGACAACUAAUGGAUGUUGC
This is a long non-coding RNA of Lepidothrix coronata (blue-crowned manakin), 298 nucleotides long. RefSeq lists it as uncharacterized. NCBI's taxonomy places the organism in Eukaryota, Metazoa, Chordata, Aves, Passeriformes, Pipridae. The record is from RefSeq and is a predicted model, not a curated record. The transcript is spliced from 3 exons.